GACGAACGCUGGCGGCGUGCCUAAUACAUGCAAGUCGAGCGGACGUUUUUGUAGCUUGCUUUAAAAACGUUAGCGGCGGACGGGUGAGUAACACGUGGGCAACCUACCUUAUCGACUGGGAUAACUCCGGGAAACCGGGGCUAAUACCGGAUAACAUCUAGCACCUCCUGGUGCCGGGUUGAAAGAGGGCUUCUUGCUCUCACGAUAAGAUGGGCCCGCGGCGCAUUAGCUAGUUGGAGAGGUAAUGGCUCCCCAAGGCGACGAUGCGUAGCCGACCUGAGAGGGUGAUCGGCCACACUGGGACUGAGACACGGCCCAGACUCCUACGGGAGGCAGCAGUAGGGAAUCUUCCGCAAUGGACGAAAGUCUGACGGAGCAACGCCGCGUGAGUGAUGAAGGGUUUCGGCUCGUAAAGCUCUGUUAUGAGGGAAGAACACGUACCGUUCGAAUAGGGCGGUACCUUGACGGUACCUCAUCAGAAAGCCACGGCUAACUACGUGCCAGCCGCCGCGGUAA
Molecule: ribosomal RNA, 516 nt
Filed under: uncultured bacterium
Lineage: Bacteria
Description: partial 16S ribosomal RNA
Rfam family: Bacterial small subunit ribosomal RNA
Source: RNAcentral